UACCAGACUCCUACGGGAGGCAGCAGUGGGGAAUAUUGCACAAUGGGGGAAACCCUGAUGCAGCGACGCCGCGUGAGCGAUGAAGUAUUUCGGUAUGUAAAGCUCUAUCAGCAGGGAAGAGGAUGACGGUACCUGACUAAGAAGCCCCGGCUAACUACGUGCCAGCAGCCGCGGUAAUACGUAGGGGGCAAGCGUUAUCCGGAUUUACUGGGUGUAAAGGGAGCGUAGACGGCGAUGCAAGCCAGAUGUGAAAGCCCGGGGCUCAACCCCGGGACUGCAUUUGGAACUGUGUGGCUGGAGUGUCGGAGAGGCAGGCGGAAUUCCUAGUGUAGCGGUGAAAUGCGUAGAUAUUAGGAGGAACACCAGUGGCGAAGGCGGCCUGCUGGACGAUGACUGACGUUGAGGCUCGAAAGCGUGGGGAGCAAACAGGAUUAGAUACCCGGGUAGUC
Molecule: ribosomal RNA, 449 nt
Filed under: uncultured bacterium
Lineage: Bacteria
Description: bacterial SSU rRNA
Rfam family: Bacterial small subunit ribosomal RNA
Source: RNAcentral